GCGCAGCAGGCGAGAAUUUUUCACAAUGGGGGAAACCCUGAUGGAGCGACGCCGCGUGGAGGAUGAAGGCCCUUGGGUUGUAAACUCCUGUCAUAAGAGAACAAGAAAGUGAUAGUAUCUUAAGAGGAAGAGACGGCUAACUCUGUGCCAGCAGCCGCGGUAAUACAGAGGUCUCAAGCGUUGUUCGGAUUCAUUGGGCGUAAAGGGUGCGCAGGCUGUGUGGUAAGUCAGGUGUGAAAUUUAGGGGCUUAACCCCUAAACUGCACUUGAUACUGUCAUGCUAGAGGACUGUAGAGGAGAUUGGAAUUCACGGUGUAGCAGUGAAAUGCGUAGAUAUCGUGAGGAAGACCAGUGGCGAAGGCGAAUCUCUGGGCAGUUCCUGACGCUCAUGCACGAAGGCUAGGGGAGCAAACGGGAUUAGAUACCCCCGUAGUCC
This 436-nucleotide ribosomal RNA is filed under the name uncultured bacterium. RNAcentral describes it as "bacterial SSU rRNA". It matches the Rfam family "Bacterial small subunit ribosomal RNA", at positions 346 to 796 of the family's 1533-position model. The record is from RNAcentral.